This 261-nucleotide ribosomal RNA is filed under the name uncultured archaeon. RNAcentral describes it as "partial 16S ribosomal RNA". It matches the Rfam family "Archaeal small subunit ribosomal RNA", at positions 748 to 1008 of the family's 1478-position model. The record is from RNAcentral.
CAGCCGUAAACAAUGUGCGUUAGGUGUGUCGGUAACCACGCGUUACUGAUGCGCCGAAGAGAAAUCGUGAAACGCACCACCUGGGAAGUACGGUCGCAAGGCUGAAACUUAAAGGAAUUGGCGGGGGAGCACCACAACAGGUAGAGCCUGCGGUUUAAUUGGAUUCAACGCCGGACAUCUCACCGGAUAAGACAGCUGAAUGAUUGUCAAUCUGAAGGUUUUACAUGACUAGCUGAGAGGAGGUGCAUGGCGUCAGUGACU